AUUGAACGCUGGCGGCAUGCUUUACACAUGCGAGUCGAACGGCAGCGCGGGCUUCGGCCUGGCGGCGAGUGGCGAACGGGUGAGUAAUACAUCGGAACGUGCCCAGUAGUGGGGGAUAGCUCGGCGAAAGCCGGAUUAAUACCGCAUACGACCUGAGGGUGAAAGCGGGGGAUCUUCGGACCUCGCGCUAUUGGAGCGGCCGAUGGCAGAUUAGCUAGUUGGUGGGGUAAAGGCCUACCAAGGCGACGAUCUGUAGCUGGUCUGAGAGGACGACCAGCCACACUGGGACUGAGACACGGCCCAGACUCCUACGGGAGGCAGCGGUGGGGAAUUUUGGACAAUGGGCGAAAGCCUGAUCCAGCAAUGCCGCGUGUGUGAUGAAGGCCUUCGGGUUGUAAAGCACUUUUGGCGGGAACGAAAAGGACUGUGCCAAUACCACGGUUCGAUGACGGUACCCGAAGAAUAAGCACCGGCUAACUACGUG
Molecule: ribosomal RNA, 484 nt
Filed under: uncultured bacterium
Lineage: Bacteria
Description: partial 16S ribosomal RNA
Rfam family: Bacterial small subunit ribosomal RNA
Source: RNAcentral